Molecule: long non-coding RNA, 387 nt
Organism: Cheilinus undulatus (humphead wrasse)
Lineage: Eukaryota; Metazoa; Chordata; Actinopteri; Labriformes; Labridae
Exons: 4
Source: RefSeq, a predicted model, not a curated record
GGAUUUGUGACUUGUUUUAACCAGGAAAGGGAGCUACCUGAAGAUACAUCGACCCAUAGCAUCGACCAACGUCUUUGGGGUUGUCAACAUUACAAGUUUCUCCGCUGAGCUGAACUUUGAUGCCACAAGACUUUUGACUUGCCAGAAGUGUGAAAGGAACAUUAAUGGGCUGACCGCUGCUUACUCCUGGAUCUGUUGGAGAUCAGACUGUAAUCACACCAAGACAGAGCUGCUGUGCUGGGAAAAAGGACACACAUCCCUCUGCUGUUGUUUCUGCUCCGUUGAGUUAACAUCACCACUGUCGCCAUGGGUCUUGCACCACCAUGGGCCCCGCAUCUGGAGGAUUGCAAGCUUUCACCCGUCUCAGGAAGGCCAGGAACGGGGUGG